RNAcentral lists this long non-coding RNA (1900 nucleotides) under Gallus gallus (chicken). RNAcentral's name for it is "lncRNA (ENSGALG00010005782.1)". The record is from RNAcentral. Lineage: Eukaryota; Metazoa; Chordata; Aves; Galliformes; Phasianidae.
ACUGACUUCCUCUAUUAAGGCAGUUGCAGAAUUCCUUCUGCCUGCGUGAGGGUUCACCUCACAAACUAUGUGUAGUGAUCACGAGCUGAAAAGAGCAAGAUUUAUUCCAACAUGGGAACAGAAAUUGUGCAUUUUCUGGAUUCCCAACUUAGAUUGCCUGGAGUCCUGAUGCAGAGGAUGAACAGCAGGCAAUACUUGGGACAGUCAGCCAUUUUGUUAAAUACUUUAUUGGACCCCAACAUGAAGGAGAAAGCUGAAAAGUUGCCCGGUCCGACAGAAUUUACAAGAAAACAUCUAUUUUCUGUGUUAAGGAAAUUGAGCAGGUGAAGAAGAAACCAUACUAGGAAAGAACUUUCACAAUAGUCUGCAUUUGUAAAUGUUGCUAGUUUUAUUUGACAUAAGCUACGUUUCCGGGGAGAGUGCUUUAAAAUAAUGUGAGAAACUGUCUAGGUUAACAAUUUCAUUUGUUUUCCAUGAAACUUAUUUGUUGACUUAUUUGUUGUUCACAAUGGGGGAAGGGGAAGACAGUUGUGCUCUUUGUAGUGAAUUUUCUGUCAUCAGCAAGAGGCUGUUGAACUUUCAAAGGGAACAAAGUGCCCUUGAGAAGAAGAGCCAGCUCCCUGAGACUGCAGAUACCAAAGCUGGAAUGGGGGCUUCCCAAACACCAGGUCCCACAGCUGACACCUGGACAGCCCAUGUACCUACAGCAGGCUUGUGUAGCAUUCUUCUGUUGAGAAGCCCUGUAUGCUGAUGUACUCAUGCUAUGGGGCAGACAUUGCUUUUGAACCCUAUGCUGCAGGGACUAGCUUGCUGUGGCUAGCAAACCUAGCCACUCAAAGGCUUUAUGAAGUGUGUGUGUGCUGCCCUGGAGCACAGACCUGCCUCGUGGCCCUGAGCUGUGGCACUGGAGUGGCAGUAUCCAUUCCAGCCUUGCCUUGAGUUUGUCCUUGGGCUUAUCCCAUAGAGUUUUUGCUCCAGGGAAGUAAGGGCUACGCUUCUUCACAGUGGACAUACCCUAUCCUAUGUGGGACUAAAAUAUUGCAGCAAAUCCACCCUCCUUCCAAAUGACGCUUCUAAAUGUAUGCUCACAUUUGUACUUGUGAACUUCAAGUAGUAGCAGACUGUGAGAUUUGCAUGUGUGCACACAGCAUGCACUUCCACAUACACACAUCAAACACUGGGAGAAUAAAUGCAUGUGAAACCGUUGUGGUUGAAUCUUGAGCAACUGGUCACAUGCAGAUCAGGUUUUGGAGUGUCAAACUUUCCAGGUCCUCUGCCUUGCACCAACUGUAACUCUACCUCUUUUUCUCAUGGGCAUUAUCUUUUUCCAGCAGUAGAAACGUACAAGCUGUAAAGCCCUUGAUGUUCUGAGCCACCAUUAACCUGUUAGGCAGCUGUCCACCUAGCUUGCUUGUGGGCUUUGGCCACACAAUUUCCUGAAAACUUAUUUCUUGGAUCACUCUCCAGCACCAAAAGGCCGUUAGAAUAAGACAUCCAUCCCAGUGUAAGCUGUCUCCAUAAGGUCAACGCGUUUACCUUGGGGCAAAGGUCUAGUUCUCAAAUCCUUGCUCCUCUUGUCUCAAAGCAAGACUUAGAUUCCAGUUUUCUGACAUUCCAAGAGAGGGCUACCAGCAUCCCUCAAUGGGUCUGGCUCUGUUUUUCUGCUUUAGGUGGUUCCAGCUGGUAGUAGUAUUUCUAAAGAGAGAAAAUGAGCCUGCAGAGUAGAGGUUGGAGAGCUCAGGAGGACUGUGUGAAAGGCAAACUCAGCUCUCUGCUCCCCUGAGAGCAUGCCUAGAGCUACUGAUACAGAGUGGGAGUCUGAGAAAGUGUGGUUUGGGGGCUUAGCUUUGAACAACCAGCUGAUUAAUUAGAAUAUUUUGUGCUGGAGUUCCAUGGAAAU